UCUGAGCCAUCUCUCCAGCCCCUA
RNAcentral lists this non-coding RNA (24 nucleotides) under Cricetulus griseus (Chinese hamster). The record is from RNAcentral. Lineage: Eukaryota; Metazoa; Chordata; Mammalia; Rodentia; Cricetidae.